Molecule: small nuclear RNA, 107 nt
Organism: Myotis daubentonii (Daubenton's bat)
Lineage: Eukaryota; Metazoa; Chordata; Mammalia; Chiroptera; Vespertilionidae
Source: RefSeq, a predicted model, not a curated record
GUGCUCACUUCGGCAACACAUAUACUAAAAUUAGAACGAUACAGAGAAGAUUAGCAUGGCCCCUGUGCAAGGAUGACAUGCGAAAAUUAAAAUAAAAUUAAUCAAUA